UACGUAGGGUGCGAGCGGUAAUCGGAAUUACUGGGCGUAAAGCGUGCGCAGGCGGCUUUGCAAGACAGAUGUGAAAUCCCCGGGCUCAACCUGGGAACUGCACUUGUGACUGCAAGGCUAGAGUACGGCAGAGGGGGAUGGAAUUCCGCGUGUAGCAGUGAAAUGCGUAGAUAUGCGGAGGAACACCAAUGGCGAAGGCAAUCCCCUGGGCCUGUACUGACGCUCAUGCACGAAAGCGUGGGGAGCAAACAGG
Molecule: ribosomal RNA, 253 nt
Filed under: uncultured bacterium
Lineage: Bacteria
Description: partial 16S ribosomal RNA
Rfam family: Bacterial small subunit ribosomal RNA
Source: RNAcentral